This 289-nucleotide long non-coding RNA is filed under the name Vigna radiata. RNAcentral describes it as "long non-coding RNA (VRAD_LNC013262)". The record is from RNAcentral. Lineage: Eukaryota; Viridiplantae; Streptophyta; Magnoliopsida; Fabales; Fabaceae.
UUCUUCUAUNUUUUCCUCCUUGACAACCUUAUCAUUUGUAAAGAUAGUGGCUUGACAUUCUUCUUUAGGGUUAACUUCAGUAUUAACCCUAAUAAUGCCCAGAGACUUCAAGACCUUUGUUAUCUCAUCUUCCUCUAUCUUCUCUCCAUUAAUAACCUUGUCAUCCUCAAAGAUAGGAGCUUGACAUUCUUCCUUAGGGUUAACUUCAGUAUUAACCCUAAUAAUACCCAGAGACUUUAACGCAUGAGAGUGUUGUUCCUACAAUAAACGUUCUUUGGCUUCCCCCAAC